GGUUACAAAGCAGCCCAGAGGAGCCUCACUUACAUCUAGUCCCAGGGCGGUGCUGCCGUUGCUUCCAAACCCCAUUUGUCUGGCGGGGACAGAGCAAGACUGGACUCUGCCCAGAGCUGGGGGGCUGUUCCCUCUUAACUGGGCUGCCCUGUGGUCUUGGGCCCCAGCAGGAGAGUUUCCUUGGCUAGUGGAUCGCUAGUAUCUCAGAAGAACAACUCCCUUAUCCUCUAGAGACAACUGCUCCACGAAAAACCCAGAGAUCUCCAGAAGCACAGGCAUCGGUGUGUCAGUGUGGCGUCUUCUCUCAGAUCCAAGCGGCAGGUGGGAAGUCCCGAGGGACGGCAAUCUGGAGCCGCAGUUGGGAAGGGUCCCGAGCAGUGCGUCCACCCCACGGGGAAUGUAUAAAGCUUGUAAUAAAAAGAAUAAACACUGUUCAUCUUGAUACAGCUUUCUUCAAGAAGUCCGAACAUUUCAAGGGAAGGGUUAUAAAAGAUGAGAUGAGAGCUGGACAGACAGCAGCUGAAGUCAGACGGAACUCCUAAGUGUUUGGAAGCCUGUGUAUCCACAUCGAUCUUACUUAAAAGAUGGUCCAUUAUUGUGGCGUUAGGACAGAAGGUCAGAACUCCUCUGUGCUUCACUCAGCUCUCAGUGUCCUGGCCGUGAACAGGUCGAAUGAUGUCAACCAUCAAAUGAAGAUAAUUGUAACAAGAAGGCAAGAUUAAGAGACGUGGAAUAAGAUUGUUUGCACCCAGAGCAAAAUGUUAUUUUUUGGUCUUUUUUGUCAAUCAAAAGGAAUUGCUUUAGGGCUUCCCUGGUGGCGUGGUGGUUGAGAGUCUGCCUGCCGAUGCAGGGGACACGGGUUCGUGCCCCGGUCCGGGAAGAUCCCACAUGCCGCGGAGCGGCUGGGCCUGUGAGCCAUGGCCGCUGAGCCUGCGCGUCUGGAGCCUGUGCUCCGCAACGGGAGAGGCCACAACAGUGAGAGGCCCGCGUACCGCAAGAAACAAAAACA
Molecule: long non-coding RNA, 1009 nt
Organism: Orcinus orca (killer whale)
Lineage: Eukaryota; Metazoa; Chordata; Mammalia; Artiodactyla; Delphinidae
Exons: 3
Source: RefSeq, a predicted model, not a curated record